RNAcentral lists this small RNA (34 nucleotides) under Arabidopsis thaliana (thale cress). Its description in RNAcentral is "ATSL130700". Lineage: Eukaryota; Viridiplantae; Streptophyta; Magnoliopsida; Brassicales; Brassicaceae. The record is from RNAcentral.
GAUGAUAUUCUCAUGUGAUCUCUUACUUCCACAU